RNAcentral lists this ribosomal RNA (498 nucleotides) under uncultured bacterium. Its description in RNAcentral is "partial 16S ribosomal RNA". It matches the Rfam family "Bacterial small subunit ribosomal RNA", at positions 30 to 523 of the family's 1533-position model. The record is from RNAcentral.
AUUGAACGCUGGCGGCAUGCCUUACACAUGCAAGUCGAACGGUAACAGGUCUUCGGAUGCUGACGAGUGGCGAACGGGUGAGUAAUACAUCGGAACGUGCCUAGUAGUGGGGGAUAACUACUCAAAAGAGUGGCUAAUACCGCAUGAGAUCUACGGAUGAAAGCAGGGGAUCGCAAGACCUUGUGCUACUAGAGCGGCCGAUGGCAGAUUAGGUAGUUGGUGGGAUAAAAGCUUACCAAGCCGACGAUCUGUAGCUGGUCUGAGAGGACGAUCAGCCACACUGGGACUGAGACACGGCCCAGACUCCUACGGGAGGCAGCAGUGGGGAAUUUUGGACAGUGGGCGCAAGCCUGAUCCAGCAAUGCCGCGUGCAGGAUGAAGGCCUUCGGGUUGUAAACUGCUUUUGUACGGAACGAAAAGCCCUGGGUUAAUACCCUGGGGUCAUGACGGUACCGUAAGAAUGAGCACCGGCUAACUACGUGCCAGCCGCCGCCGAAA